Molecule: ribosomal RNA, 293 nt
Filed under: uncultured prokaryote
Description: partial 16S ribosomal RNA
Rfam family: Archaeal small subunit ribosomal RNA
Source: RNAcentral
GUGCCAGCAGCCGCGGUAAUACCGGCAGCCCGAGUGAUGGCCGAUCUUAUUGGGCCUAAAGCGUCCGUAGCUGGCCGCACAAGUCCAUCGGAAAAUCCACCCGCCCAACGGGUGGGCGUCCGGUGGAAACUGUGUGGCUUGGGACCGGAAGGCGCGACGGGUACGCCCGGGGUAGGAGUGAAAUCCCGUAAUCCUGGACGGACCGCCGAUGGCGAAAGCACGUCGCGAGGACGGAUCCGACAGUGAGGGACGAAAGCCAGGGUCUCGAACCGGAUUAGAUACCCCCGUAGUCC